RNAcentral lists this small nucleolar RNA (64 nucleotides) under Cavia aperea (Brazilian guinea pig). RNAcentral describes it as "Z6 small nucleolar RNA (ENSCAPG00000001704.1)". The record is from RNAcentral. Lineage: Eukaryota; Metazoa; Chordata; Mammalia; Rodentia; Caviidae.
AGCUAAGUGCUACUUCUGGAAACUGGGCCCUGCCUGGGGGCUGCAGGGGCCAAUGGUUGGAGCU